RNAcentral lists this ribosomal RNA (775 nucleotides) under uncultured Neocallimastigales. RNAcentral's name for it is "partial large subunit ribosomal RNA". It matches the Rfam family "Eukaryotic large subunit ribosomal RNA", at positions 19 to 645 of the family's 3401-position model. Lineage: Eukaryota; Fungi; Neocallimastigomycota; Neocallimastigomycetes; Neocallimastigales. The record is from RNAcentral.
CGAGCACGCGCGUGUGGCAUAUCAAUAAGCGGAGGAAAAGAAACUAACAAGGAUUCCCUUAGUAACGGCGAGUGAAGCGGGAAGAGCUCAAAUUUGAAAUCUUCAAGGUUCUACCUUGACGAAUUGUAGUUUAUAGAAGUGUUUUCUGUUAGUGGAGUGGCAAAAGUUCUUUGGAAUAGGACAUCAUAGAGGGUGAGAAUCCCGUAUUUGGUCAUUCCUCCUAGCGUUGUGAUACACUUUCAACGAGUCGGAUUGUUUGGGAAUGCAGUCCAAAAUGGGUGGUAAAUUUCAUCUAAAGCUAAAUAUUGGCGAGAGACCGAUAGCGAACAAGUACCGUGAGGGAAAGAUGAAAAGAACUUUGAAAAGAGAGUUAAACAGUACGUGAAAUUGUCAAAAGGGAAGCGUUUGACACCAGUGUUGUUUUUCCGGAAAUCAAUUACGAAUGUUUUAGUUUUUAAGGAGUUAUGACUUCAUCGGCUUGCUCCUUUCUUUAUGAAACUUUCUUAAUGCAGCUUUUCGGUUAACAAGUCAACAUCAAUUUCUUUUGUUGUAAAAGGGUAUGAGGAAGGUGGCUUUCUUUUCGGAGAAAGUGUUUAUAGCCUUGUGCCUCUGCAAUCGGAGAGAUUGAGGUCUGCAGCGUAGAUCCUUCGGGGUUAGAUACGUUUGUGCUAAGUUAUAGCUUUUCAUAGACAACUUGUUGACUAUGUUUAGUCUUGUAGCUUACUCGCUGACGCUAUUUUACCUACGCUUAGGAUGUUGAUGUGAUACUGCGAGC